UGGCUGUCGUCAGCUCGUGUCGUGAGAUGUUGGGUUAAGUCCCGCAACGAGCGCAACCCUUGUCAUUAGUUGCUACAUUCAGUUGGGCACUCUAAUGAGACUGCCGGUGACAAGCCGGAGGAAGGUGGGGAUGACGUCAAGUCCUCAUGGCCCUUAUAGGUGGGCUACACACGUCAUACAAUGGCUGGUAACAAAGGGUUGCCCAACCCGCGAGGGGGAGCCAAUCCCAUAAAGCCAGUCGUAGUCCGGAUCGUAGUCUGCAACUCGACUACGUGAAGUCGGAAUCGCUAGUAAUCGUGGAUCAGAAUGUCACGGUGAAUACGUUCCCGGGUCUU
RNAcentral lists this ribosomal RNA (335 nucleotides) under uncultured Rhodoferax sp. RNAcentral's name for it is "bacterial SSU rRNA". It matches the Rfam family "Bacterial small subunit ribosomal RNA", at positions 1046 to 1382 of the family's 1533-position model. The record is from RNAcentral. Lineage: Bacteria; Pseudomonadati; Pseudomonadota; Betaproteobacteria; Burkholderiales; Comamonadaceae.